CCUUCCUCCCCCUUCCUCCCCACGAGCUGCUGAUCCUCCUUAGCUCCAUGGCCGGCCAUGGCCAUGGAAAGCCACCAAGAUGGAGCUCCCCUCCUCCCUCAAGCUUCUCCUCACCAUGAGAGCAUCUCUCUCCCUCACUUCUCCCCUAAUCUUUGAUGAGUCCAGCUCACUUUCUCCUUUCUCCUCUCACUAGAUUGGAUCUUGAUGCAGGUGCAUGUUGGUCCAAGCAUGGAGAAGGUUGAGCUAUCCUCAGAUCUGAAGUUCUUGAGCAAAAUCCAAAUCGAGUGAUUCAAAGUUCCAAAGAUAGGUACUGGAAAGAUCUACAACUUGGCGUUGGUCUCAUCCUCAAAUUCGUUACGGAUUUUGCAUGAUUCGAACAUUAUCGGGUUUGAAGGAGAGGAAGGAUUUGAAGAAUUUGAAGAAGUCCAGGGACAAAUAAGCCAACCAAG
Long non-coding RNA from Lolium perenne, 449 nucleotides. RefSeq lists it as uncharacterized. NCBI's taxonomy places the organism in Eukaryota, Viridiplantae, Streptophyta, Magnoliopsida, Poales, Poaceae. The record is from RefSeq and is a predicted model, not a curated record.